This 74-nucleotide transfer RNA is filed under the name Bacteroides sp. RNAcentral describes it as "tRNA-Arg". It matches the Rfam family "tRNA". Rfam says of the family: Transfer RNA (tRNA) molecules are approximately 80 nucleotides in length. The record is from RNAcentral. Lineage: Bacteria; Pseudomonadati; Bacteroidota; Bacteroidia; Bacteroidales; Bacteroidaceae.
GGUCCCGUAGCUCAGAUGGAUAGAGCAACUGCCUUCUAAGCAGUUGGUCAGAGGUUCGAAUCCUCUCGGGAUCA